This is an RNA transcript of Tribolium castaneum (red flour beetle), 879 nucleotides long. RefSeq lists it as hypothetical. Lineage: Eukaryota; Metazoa; Arthropoda; Insecta; Coleoptera; Tenebrionidae. The transcript is spliced from 4 exons. The record is from RefSeq and is a predicted model, not a curated record.
CUCUUGAAGGACAAAUCAACAAAACGCAAAAGUUUUGUAUUGAUACACAUUUUAACCAACUUUCUACAUGGAUAGCGAUUCCUCGUCGUAUUACGCAACGACUUACAGUGAAGAUGAAAGAAUUGAAAAGGCGUUGCAAGCAAAACGGAGAAAACUAGCCCAGCUUGAACACGCAAACAGUUUGGGAAGGCAAAAAACAUUUGGACAGUUUGCCGAAUCCGAACUUGACAUCUUCAGGUUAACAGGCCUCAAGUUCCACACAUUCCGACACUCGAAAAUCAAAUUUUCUUUCCAUCCGGCAUCAGUCACAAAUUUUGUCAAUCAAAAUGUCAGAUUUUACGUCUCUCUGAAGUACGCAGGCAGACACUGGAGGCUAAAACGGGACUCACUCCCAGCCAAUUUCAAAUGGAAAAUAUACAGUUUGUUUUAUAGUCGCAACUUUUUUGAAAUUGAUGAUGAAAAUAUCCUCGCAACUUUACUCAAAAUUUACGAACUACUGGUGUUGUGGACACAGAAGGAGGAACAAUAUCGGGUGGACAAGUUCCAGAGGUUCAAAGAGGGUGAAGACGUGGAACUGGAUUCUGACGAUGAACAAUUUUUUUUGAGCCAAAGUGAACGGAAUGAACGCCUUUACAAGAAAACGAAAAUACUCCGCCGUAUGAUACCACCUAGGACAUAAAUAAUUAAUCAGUAUUAAAAAAACUUAACUUUACAAUGCUGUAGUAUUAAUUGUGGCCUCCUUGAUGGAAAUUGUUCGCACAGAGAGAUGGAAAAUCUCUCUCCAUCAAGGAGGCUAUGGUAAUGGACGAAAUAUCGGCAAUUUUAAUUUUUCCAAUCUACCAGAAAUUAAAAAAAUAGAAAUUGUUCUACUUGUAGAAU